This 497-nucleotide ribosomal RNA is filed under the name uncultured bacterium. RNAcentral describes it as "partial 16S ribosomal RNA". It matches the Rfam family "Bacterial small subunit ribosomal RNA", at positions 28 to 507 of the family's 1533-position model. The record is from RNAcentral.
GAUGAACGCUGGCGGCGUGCCUAAUACAUGCAAGUCGAGCGAACAGACGAGGAGCUUGCUCCUCUGACGUUACCGGCGGACGGGUGAGUAACACGUGGAUAACCUACCUAUAAGACUGGGAUAACUUCGGGGAACCGGAGCUAAUACCGGAUAAUAUAUUGAACCGCAUGGUUCAAUAGUGAAAGACGGUUUUGCUGUCACUUAUAGAUGGAUCCGCGCCGCAUUAGCUAGUUGGUAAGGUAACGGCUUACCAAGGCAACGAUGCGUAGCCGACCUGAGAGGGUGAUCGGCCACACUGGAACUGAGACACGGUCCAGACUCCUACGGGAGGCAGCAGUAGGGAAUCUUCCGCAAUGGGCGAAAGCCUGACGGAGCAACGCCGCGUGAGUGAUGAAGGUCUUCGGAUCGUAAAACUCUGUUAUUAGGGAAGAACAAAUGUGUAAGUAACUAUGCACGUCUUGACGGUACCUAAUCAGAAAGCCACGGCUAACUACGUG